CCCUUAGAUGUUCUGGGCCGCACGCGUGCUACACUGAUGCAUUCAACGAGUCUAAAACCUGGUCUGAUAGGGCUGGGUAAUCUUUUGAAAGUGCAUCGUGAUUGGGAUAGAUGAUUGCAAUUCUUCAUCUUCAACGAGGAAUGCCUAGUAAACGCAAGUCAUCAGCUUGCAUUGAUUACGUCCCUGCCCUUUGUACACACCGCCCGUCGCUCCUACCGAUUGAAUGAUCCGAUGAAUACCAUGGAUUGAGAGUACGAAUAGGUUCGCUUAUUUCUGCGUCUCGAGAAGUGGAGUAAAUCUUAUCAUUUAGAGGAAGGAGAAGUCGUAACA
Molecule: ribosomal RNA, 330 nt
Filed under: uncultured eukaryote
Lineage: Eukaryota
Description: partial 18S ribosomal RNA
Rfam family: Eukaryotic small subunit ribosomal RNA
Source: RNAcentral